GAGGAACUGAGCACUUGAUACUUUUGCCUGCCAGAGGUGGAUCUGCUGAUUCCCAUGUAGGACUCAGAACUCGUUUUGUUGUUUACAAGCCCUCCUUUCACUGUGGCACUUUUUAUUCAGAUGGAUUUUUUGACAGAAAGAUUGAAAGUAGGGCUUCUGGCAGAGGGUCCCAAUCUCCUUUUCAUCCCUCUAAAGCAGGCUUGGGCUUUCUGCCCAAUGUGAGCAACUUCCCUGGCCUAUUCCACCUACUCCAAGAGUCAUCUCCCACAUUUCAAGGGAAAUACUUUACUGACAACAUGCAGAGGAAAGCCUUAUUUAAUAUAUAGUCACUCUCAAGAAAGCAGACUAUUGGUAUUAAGCCGCAAAAAAGUAAGAAAAGAAUGAUGUCACAGCAGCAAUAACAAAAGCCCAUCAGUCUCUUAAACACAUCUUUUUAGAAGGAAAUGCAAGGCUUUAAAAAAUAAUAAUGAUGUUCAUUUAUAUGCUUUUAAAGAAUCAACUGUAGGCAACUGGAAGAUGGCUCACCACCAGGUAGAGGACACGCAUGAAGAUGGGGUUCAAGUCUCCAGCCACCACGUGGGAACACAAAGCAAAAUGAAAGCUUCACAAAUGCUGAAAUAGUGCCGCCCUGCCUGUCAUGUUCAUUGUUCUCCUCCUCCUCCUCCUUUCAUCCUCUUAUUCCUCUCUCUCCCCUUUCCCUCUCCUUACCAUUUAAUCUCUAUCUAAUAAUAAUAAGUACACUGAGAGUGGUGGAAUUAUCAUGACUGAAUUCAUCUUGGUUCAGCACUAGGUGAGCAGCCCAGACAGUGAUGAAAGCAGGGAACGAACUCCAAAGCAUCUGUUUCCCGCUGGUAUUACAUGAGCCAAAGGGAUGCUCCAUCCUUCUCUCUCAGUAAAACACGCAAACAAAUGAAAAA
Long non-coding RNA from Erinaceus europaeus (western European hedgehog), 917 nucleotides. RefSeq lists it as uncharacterized. The record is from RefSeq and is a predicted model, not a curated record. NCBI's taxonomy places the organism in Eukaryota, Metazoa, Chordata, Mammalia, Eulipotyphla, Erinaceidae. The transcript has 2 exons.